GACGAACGCUGGCGGCGUGCCUAACACAUGCAAGUCGAACGGAGUUAAGUGCUUCGGUAUUUAACUUAGUGGCGAACGGGUGAGUAACGCGUGAGAAACCUGCCUUUCAGUGGGGGACAACAGUUGGAAACGACUGCUAAUACCGCAUGAUACUUUUUGGGGGUCGAUCCCUAAAAAGUACAAAGACUUUAUGUGCUGAAAGAUGGUCUCGCGUCUGAUUAGGUAGUUGGUGGGGUAACGGCCUACCAAGCCGACGAUCAGUAGCCGACCUGAGAGGGUGACCGGCCACAUUGGGACUGAGACACGGCCCAA
Molecule: ribosomal RNA, 312 nt
Filed under: uncultured bacterium
Lineage: Bacteria
Description: bacterial SSU rRNA
Rfam family: Bacterial small subunit ribosomal RNA
Source: RNAcentral